RNAcentral lists this ribosomal RNA (253 nucleotides) under uncultured bacterium. RNAcentral's name for it is "partial 16S ribosomal RNA". It matches the Rfam family "Bacterial small subunit ribosomal RNA", at positions 524 to 776 of the family's 1533-position model. The record is from RNAcentral.
UACGGAGGGUGCAAGCGUUAUCCGGAUUCACUGGGUUUAAAGGGUGCGUAGGUGGGUAGGUAAGUCAGUGGUGAAAUCUCCGAGCUUAACUCGGAAACUGCCAUUGAUACUCUCUAUCUUGAAUAUCCUGGAGGUGAGCGGAAUAUGUCAUGUAGCGGUGAAAUGCUUAGAUAUGACAUAGAACACCAAUUGCGAAGGCAGCUCACUACGGGAUUAUUGACACUGAGGCACGAAAGCGUGGGGAUCAAACAGG